This 468-nucleotide ribosomal RNA is filed under the name uncultured bacterium. RNAcentral describes it as "partial 16S ribosomal RNA". It matches the Rfam family "Bacterial small subunit ribosomal RNA", at positions 28 to 507 of the family's 1533-position model. The record is from RNAcentral.
GACGAACGCUGGCGGCGUGCUUAACACAUCCAAGUCGAACGGAAAGGCCCUGCUUUUGUGGGGUGCUCGAGUGGCGAACGGGUGAGUAACACGUGAGUAACCUGCCCUUGACUUUGGGAUAACUUCAGGAAACUGGGGCUAAUACCGGAUAGGAGCUCCUGCUGCAUGGUGGGGGUUGGAAAGUUUCGGCGGUUGGGGAUGGACUCGCGGCUUAUCGGCUUGUUGGUGGGGUAGUGGCUUACCAAGGCUUUGACGGGUAGCCGGCCUGAGAGGGUGACCGGCCACAUUGGGACUGAGAUACGGCCCAGACUCCUACGGGAGGCAGCAGUGGGGAAUAUUGCACAAUGGGCGGAAGCCUGAUGCAGCAACGCCGCGUGCGGGAUGACGGCCUUCGGGUUGUAAACCGCUUUCGCCUGUGACGAAGCGUGAGUGACGGUAAUGGGUAAAGAAGCACCGGCUAACUACGUG